RNAcentral lists this ribosomal RNA (389 nucleotides) under uncultured organism. RNAcentral's name for it is "bacterial SSU rRNA". It matches the Rfam family "Bacterial small subunit ribosomal RNA", at positions 45 to 433 of the family's 1533-position model. The record is from RNAcentral.
UGCCUAAUACAUGCAAGUCGAACGGGGAAAGUCGCAAGAUGAGUACUAGUGGCGCACGGGUGAGUAACACGUGGAUAAUCUUCCUUUGAGUGGGGAAUAACUAAUCGAAAGAUUGGCUAAUACCGCAUAAGACCACAGGUCCCACGGGACAAGGGGUUAAAGCAGCAAUGCGCUCGAAGAUGAGUCCGCGUCGGAUUAUGGUAGUUGGUGGGGUAAUGGCCUACCAAGCCGACGAUCCGUAGCUGGUCUGAGAGGAUGAUCAGCCACACUGGAACUGAGACACGGUCCAGACUCCUACGGGAGGCAGCAGUAGGGAAUAUUGGACCCUGGGGGAAACCCUGAUCCAGCAACGCCGCGUGAGUGACGCUUUCCUUCGGGUUGUAAAGCUC